RNAcentral lists this ribosomal RNA (440 nucleotides) under uncultured bacterium. RNAcentral's name for it is "partial 16S ribosomal RNA". It matches the Rfam family "Bacterial small subunit ribosomal RNA", at positions 338 to 795 of the family's 1533-position model. The record is from RNAcentral.
CCUACGGGAGGCAGCAGUGGGGAAUAUUGCACAAUGGGGGAAACCCUGAUGCAGCGACGCCGCGUGAAGGAAGAAGUAUUUCGGUAUGUAAACUUCUAUCAGCAGGGAAGAAAAUGACGGUACCUGACUAAGAAGCCCCGGCUAACUACGUGCCAGCAGCCGCGGUAAAACGGAGGGGGCAAGCGUUAUCCGGAUUUACUGGGUGUAAAGGGAGCGUAGGCGGCGAUGCAAGUCAGAAGUGAAAGCCCGGGGCUCAACUUCGGGACUGCUUUUGAUACUGUGUUGCUAGAUUGCAGGAGAGGUGAGUAGAAUUCCUAGUGUAGCGGUGAAAUGCGUAGAGAUCAGGAGGAACACCAGUGGCGAAGGCGGCCUACUGGACUGUAAAUGACGCUGAGGCUCGAAAGCGUGGGGAGCAAACAGGAUUAGAUACCCCGGUAGUC